RNAcentral lists this ribosomal RNA (439 nucleotides) under uncultured bacterium. Its description in RNAcentral is "partial 16S ribosomal RNA". It matches the Rfam family "Bacterial small subunit ribosomal RNA", at positions 339 to 795 of the family's 1533-position model. The record is from RNAcentral.
CUACGGGAGGCUGCAGUGGGGAAUAUUGCACAAUGGAGGAAACUCUGAUGCAGCAACGCCGCGUGGAGGAUGACACUUUUCGGAGCGUAAACUCCUUUUAUAAAGGAAGAAGAUGACGGUACUAUAUGAAUAAGCGCCGGCUAACUCCGUGCCAGCAGCCGCGGUAAUACGGAGGGCGCAAGCGUUACUCGGAAUCACUGGGCGUAAAGAGCGUGUAGGCGGAUUAAAAAGUCAGAAGUGAAAUCCUAUAGCUUAACUAUAGAACUGCUUCUGAAACUCUUAAUCUAGAAUAUGGGAGAGGUAGAUGGAAUUUCUGGUGUAGGGGUAAAAUCCGUAGAGAUCAGAAGGAAUACCGAUUGCGAAGGCGAUCUACUAGAACAUUAUUGACGCUGAGACGCGAAAGCGUGGGGAGCAAACAGGAUUAGAUACCCUGGUAGUC